AGGCGCGCCUUCCCUGCCUGGAUCCCCUGCCCCGCAGCCCUCGCGCGGGGGCGGCGCCGCGAGACCGGCCAGGAGGGGCCAGCGCGGGCCGCACUCCGCCUCCGACCCUGCCGCCGCGGUUCCAGCUACCUACGGUUCUCGAACCAGCUGGAACUUUCCAUGCCUUCCGUCUCAUCCUGGGCGGCGGGCGAGCGUGCGCCCUCGUGCGCGUGCGCUAAACAGUGCGGUCUCGUCCGUGCGCGCGCUUCUCGCCCGCGACUUCUCGGCGCGGGGGACCUUCUAGGCGUCCACGCUGCUCCGGGCGGGGUCGCGGCUGGACCUGGGCUCUUCCCGCAGCUGGUUGCGCAGGGGAGUUCCAGAAUGUUCCGGCAUCUAAAUGAGAGGACCUUUGGGAACAAGGAUGACACUUUAUCUUCAAUCAGUAAUCUGGCUGGUUGACAUUAGAGAGCAGCCAGAAACGAGAAUUUCCUCCUACUGUUAAUGAUUCAGUGCUUAAGAAAUGUCCACGAUCCUACAUGCAGAAAGGAGGGCCAUUGGUCUGACAGUGAGGAAGAGCAGCUUCGGGCCUGGUGAAUUAAACCUCGGUGCUAUUAAACUUGACUCCAGCUGCAAGCCCACAGCUACAAGUCCUGGGUAAGUGCCGCAGGCAACAGGACCUCACUGCCACCCAUCUGGGUACUGUAAGGUACAUCCCCACACUGUGGCCAUAGGAUCUUUCUGAAAGCACAUAUCUGAUUCAGUUUCUGCGCAGCUUAAAUACUUGAGUCCAAACUCCUCAACAGGGGAUACAAUGUCCUUCCUCCUGCAGCACCGACCCCUUUCCCCAUCGACUUCCACACACCUGCCUCCAUCCCUCUCGCCACUCCUCAGUGUCACUCCGUGGUGCUUGCAGCCCCUGAGCUCUGCACACGUUUCCCCUGCUGCCUUUUGUCUUCAGCCUGGAACAGACCCCAGUCCCUUCCCCUAGCCUACUCCUAUUUGCCCCUUACUUUUUUUUUUUUUUUAAUUAUGAGAUAUACAGACAGGGACUGCAUGGAACACAUAGAGAGAAUUUUAAGAAUUAUUUCACAAGCAUCUCAGAAGCCCACUUUCCAGAAUCUUCUUCCGUGCCUCUCUAGAAACAGGCCCACUCCUCUCCCCCCAUUCCUGGCUUUUCUUUCUAAUCUUACCAUCUUUGCAUGCAUUCCCCAAUCCAUAGCCUAUUUCAGUCCACUUUCUGAAUGUUGCAGUGUGAGAAUGUCACUUUCCCUACCCACCCCCCGGCUCAUUCUUCCAAGUUAUUAAGUGUAGUUGUAGCUCAUUUAUUUUCAUCACUGAAACUACUCUACUGUUCAGCUACACCACUGUACAUCUGUUGGUUUGACAGACAUGGUUGUUUCCUUUGUGGGUGGCUAUUACCAAUAAUACCACCGGGAACACCUGUACACAUAGACCAGUGCAUACAGGUACACGUGCAGAGUGGAAUGCUACCUCCCAUGUAGCUGUUCUAUUGUAAUGCCAAACCGUUCUCUAGAGUGGUGGUGCCAGCUUGCACUUCCUCCUGCAGGAUAUGUCAAUUUGCUAAUCCCUGUCCUCUGCUCAUGUCUCAGUUUUGACCACUGCCAUGUAGAAAGCCUAGCCUAAACUUGAAAGUCUAGAUCAGGUGCACCUCAUUGGUGCUCUUUUUAGCACCUGUGCUCACUCUGUCAUCACAUUAACCGUACCUUGUUACAGCAUGCACAGGACAGAAGUGAAAAAAUACUGUUCAGAUCCCCAGCUGCUGUCCCUCUGGACCCAUUGUUGUAUUAGUUCUGAAGCCACAUGUCCCUUUGGUGGCUCCCCAGGUUCAUUUCUGUUACACACAGGACUCCUCUGAUAGGUGACUUGGGCUCAAGGACUUCCCAGUGACCUGAACAAAUCUUUCUUGGAAUUGUACUACAGUCCCCUCCCCUCCGUCCUGCACAGAUGUCAGACCUGCAAUGUCUUCUCCCCGCCUUCUCUGCUUCCCUCCCUUGGUCCUUCAUGGGCAUGUCUUCCAAGAAAUCUCUUACCUGUCUAAUUCUAUCUUGCUGUCUGCUUCUUAGAGAGCCUGAACUAACACAGUGUCAUCUCUUCGUUACCCUGUGGCCUUAGCAAUUAAUACAUACAUUCUCAAAAAAGAAACUCUUGUGCCCCCAGUGCCAAUGGGAGGGACUGAUACAUGAUAGAUGCUGAGAAAAUAUUGGAGAAUAAGUGAAUAAAUAAAUAAAUGAGAUGCCAACUCCAUAUGAACAUGUUUCUGGUGUCAUCUUGAAGGCAGAGGAAAACUGCUUGACCCAACUCUGAUACCUCCCUUCUUCCUUCCUUCCUUCCUUCAGAGAGAGAGAGAGAGAGAGAGAGAGAGAGAGAGAGAGGGAGGGAGAGAGAGACACAGAGAGAGAGAGAGAGAUGAGUAUGUGAGCAGAGGAGCAGAGAGACAGGGAGAGAGAAUCCCAAGCAGGCUCCACACUAUCAGCACAGAGCCUGAUGAUGCAAGGCUCGAACUUGCAAACCAAGAAUCGAAUGCUUAAGAGUGAGCCACCCAGGUGCCCCACAUCCCUUCUUUCUAUGGGCCUACCCGCAGACUGUGCUUCCUACUUAAAAGGUGUGGCCAGUAUACAAUGACGGACAAAGGAACUAAGAUUUCACAUUCUUUCCAUGAGGGAAGAACAAAGUCUCCCUUUAGGUCAUUGGCUUGGGAACAUUCUCUUUGGCUCCUCAUUCCGUAUUUCAGAAGCUUCUGAUCACAAUGCCAACCUACCAGACUUGUGUCACCGCCAAGUGGCAAAGAGAAGGGACCUAUGGUAAGUGGCCUCUAGGAUGGCCUCCUAUGAUCUCCGCCUGCUGGUAUAAUUCCCUGUCCUUGAGUGUGAUCCACAUUUAAAAAUCCCUAAGGAAUUGAAUACAAUGGAAGUGAUAGGAUAUGACUUCUGAUUUUACAUUAUAAAAAGAACUGUAUCUUCCAUGGAUUGAGAGUCAGAACACCUAAGUGUAAUCUUUACCUUUACAGGGCACUGGCCAGGUUAUUUUCUUUUUUGAACUCUUUUUUUAAGUUUACUUGUUUAUUUUGAGAGAGAGAGAGAGAGAGAGGGAGAGAGAGCAUGCUCACACGCUGGCAGUUGGGGAAGGGGUAGACUCCCAAGCAGACUCAGCACUGUCUGUGUGGACCUGAUGCAGGGCUCGAACCCCACAAACCAUGGGACCAUGAUCUGAGCUGAAAUCAAGAGUAGGAUGCUUAACUGACUGAGCCACCCAGGAGCCCCCUGGCCAAGUCAUUUUCAUCUCUUUAUGUCUUAGGUUGUUUAUCCAUUAAAUGGAUUAAGUAAUACCCAACUAAUUAUGAUUAGUUUUAUGUGGGAAAUUAUAUAAAAACCAACUUUUACUAAGUGUCACUUUACAUAUCUUUUUUGUAUUAUUCACUUAAUGCUCACAGCAUUUCUAUGGGUGAGGACUGUUAUCACCCUCAUUUCAUACAAUGGAAUAUGACUCAGGAAUAAAAAGAAAAGAACUAGUAACAUGUUCAGCAACAUGAAUGAAUCUCAGUUAUGCUGAGUGAAAUAAGCCAGACCCCUCCCCCCCCAAAAAAACCCCAUACCAAAUGAUUCCAUUUAUAUAAAAUUCUAGAAAAUUCAAACUACAGUGACACAAACAAAUCAGUGGCUGCUUGAGGUAGAAGUGAAGAAAAGGGAUUUUACAGGGGCAUGAGGAAAUGUUUAGGGAUGAUGGGCAUUUUUAUUAUCUUGAUUAGAGCAAUAUUUUCAUGGAUGUAUACAUAUGUCAACAAGUAUCAAAUUAUAUACUUCAAAUAUGUGUGACUUACUAUGUAUCAAUUAUAACUUAAAAAAGCUAAAAAAUAUAAAUCAUUCACAUUUUUAUACGCAGGAAAGACAUUCUAGGUCAUUGUUCUGUUAUACCUCUACCCUCAACUUACCCUGCUUCCCCUGCCUCAAAUUCCUGAGUAAGAAGAGGUCAAAACCACACUCACCUCUGGUAUUCACAUC
Molecule: long non-coding RNA, 3998 nt
Filed under: Suricata suricatta (meerkat)
Lineage: Eukaryota; Metazoa; Chordata; Mammalia; Carnivora; Herpestidae
Description: lncRNA (ENSSSUG00005001688.1)
Source: RNAcentral